GGGGAAGGUAGCUCACUUUUUAAACUCCCUGGCAGUGAACACGUAGAGCCAGCAAGUGGACAGCAAUGCUGGCAGACAUUUAUCUCUGCACAGCACUUUGAAGGGCUGCGUGGAGGCUACUGCUGUGACCCAGCACUGGAAAGUGGGAUAGCCAGACUCAUUCCACUGUUGGCCUGCAAUUUCUAUUUUAAUUAUUUUCUUGGCAUGUUUAAAGUAGUUUUGUCUCACCAAUUCUCCCACUGCAAUCUGACCAUGUCAAUGGAAAAUGUGACUCUAUAAGCAGAAGGAACAAGUAAAGUCUGGCAAGAAAGAAAAAAUAAAAUAGUGAAAUGAAUUGCAAUAGAUCACCUUCAGUCCAGCUCUUCAUGGGUCAGAGUACUCAUGUACAUAAGGUUCCUACAUAAAUGUAUGUAAGGUAUGUAAGAUCAGACUGUCAGACUGGUCUUUGGGAGAUAAAUUGUGCCACUUCUUACCUGUGAAAAAUGCUGUUUUUAUUUGCCUUUUUCUGAUAACUUAGUGGGUUUACAAUAUAUUGGGGUGAUGCUCUCUUUAUUUACCAUGUUUAAUUUUGCCCUUUACCCUC
This 583-nucleotide long non-coding RNA is filed under the name Zonotrichia albicollis (white-throated sparrow). RNAcentral's name for it is "lncRNA (ENSZALG00000017243.1)". Lineage: Eukaryota; Metazoa; Chordata; Aves; Passeriformes; Passerellidae. The record is from RNAcentral.